This 720-nucleotide ribosomal RNA is filed under the name Triticum aestivum (bread wheat). RNAcentral describes it as "partial small subunit ribosomal RNA". The record is from RNAcentral. Lineage: Eukaryota; Viridiplantae; Streptophyta; Magnoliopsida; Poales; Poaceae.
AUGUCUUUUUCAGCAAGAGACCUGUAUUCCAGAGCUUGGAGAAGUGAGCGGGGAACAUUUGUCAUGAAACCAGAUAUCACAGGGUGGUUAUACAUAACAAAUGAAGACCAUGAAACGCUAAAGUUCACAAGCAGUUCUACUUAUGGCGGUCUUGGUGGAGACGACGUCAAGGACACGUGGAUUGGCAUUCAUGCACUCCGUCACGCAUUUCAUGUGAUACGCAAGUCAGAUGGAAGGCCCACAGACCUUCUUAGACAAGCUAUCAUGAUCAUCAGCAUUCACUUGUCAGAAUCAGCCCGCCUCCAGUCAGUUUUUGAAGCAGUUUGCGAGUCCAUGACUGAUGAUACACGAACCACUUUGGAUGUUGAACCUGAGGCUGCAGCCGGUGCGGCUCGGCCAAUAAGAACUCAUACCCCCUUGUUUUGGGUAGCGAAUUAUGGUUACUACUCCAAACAGGCGAUGACAGCUGUUGACAAGUAUAUUUCAGAAAAUGAGGAGUACAUAAUUGAAAAUGUUAUGGGUGGCCAGGUAAAGUCACCAGAGGAGAUCUUCAGGGAGAUCCGGAUACUCUCCCGGGAUGUGUAUCGCGACGGUGUUUUUGCUGAUAAAGUUGGUGAUCCACCGCUAGCACCGCCAACGGAAUCUCCUCCGGAUGCCACGGGAUAUGAGGUAGAAUUUCCCUAUCCACAGUUAAGUGAGUGGGAAAUCGGCACAAAAUAG